Non-coding RNA from Phoenix dactylifera (date palm), 1113 nucleotides. NCBI's taxonomy places the organism in Eukaryota, Viridiplantae, Streptophyta, Magnoliopsida, Arecales, Arecaceae. The record is from RefSeq and is a predicted model, not a curated record.
CCGUGAUGACGAUCGUUAAGACCGGAAACAGGGGUUGGUGACAACUUCACUCUUAAAUUUCAUGAACGGAGAAGAAAAAGAAGAUGAUAGGUCUGGGAAAUGUAAGAGUGCAGUUGUCACCAACCAAGUUGUGGUCCCCUUGAUAUUUCUACCUUGAUAACCCGGCCAAGCCCAGAUCCACUCCUCUGUUGGGUGGCACGCAGCAUCUUCCCUCUUUCAGCCAAUCCCCCAAACUCCACCAAUUCCUUCAAAGCCACAAACUUUUUGGCUCUGGCUCUGGCUCUGGCUCCUGUCCCUUUGUGGGCUUGAGGGACCUUCUAUGCUUUCACUUGCUGUAGCUGUCGAGGCUAAGCGCCGGAGAGGAUAUAGGCCAAGACCAUGACACUCUCAGCCCUCAUCGGCCCCAUCUACAGUCCACCCCUACCAAACUAAAAUUGACACCCCCUGCACCACCACUCCCAGCAGCACCAACAUGGCAGCCCAGGCGGCCAGCGACACUUUCCACUGGCGGUGGGCCUGCGGCUACCACCGGUGGACAACGGCAACGGGGACGGGGGAGUUAUCCUCUGAGGCUGGCCUUGCCACGGCCACCAGGCCUUGAUGCGGAGACCCCUGGGUAGCUUCCCGGUGCACUUACACCAGCGAUCGUCAUCGGGCGACGAGGCCCAGUGCUCCAUAUGCCUCAGCUUCUUGAUAGAGGGAGAGAAGGUUAAGGUGCUGCCAAGCUGUAGCCAUCCAUUCCAUCCGGAGUGCAUCGAUGAAUGGCUGAAGGCUCAUUCGAACUGCCCGCUAUGUAGGGCUUCUCUUGGGUGAUCGACGGCAGAGCCGGUGGCCGUCGUUUGAGAAGAAGAUAGGCUGAGAAUGGGGUUUGAGUCUGUGGAUAAGAGAGUGCAUGUCUUUUUAUAUUUUCUUCUCUAUUUCUUUUCUUUUUUUUUCUUUUUUUGGGAGCUAUGGGCGUGGAACAGGAAGAGGCUGGCGGUGGAAUCCAUGGAGAGAUGGUGGCUUUUGGGUGUCUGCCAUGGAGGGGGCCCGAGGCACGGACAGUAUCGACAUUUUGUCUCUACUGUUGCUUUUGGCUUUUUGGACCUCGAUACAUUCAUCUUUUCUUUUUUC